RNAcentral lists this ribosomal RNA (227 nucleotides) under uncultured bacterium. Its description in RNAcentral is "partial 16S ribosomal RNA". It matches the Rfam family "Bacterial small subunit ribosomal RNA", at positions 107 to 334 of the family's 1533-position model. The record is from RNAcentral.
UGAGUAACACGUAUCCAAUCUGCCGUCUACUCUUGGACAGCCUUCUGAAAGGAAGAUUAAUACAAGAUGGCAUCAUGAGUUCACAUGUUCACAUGAUUAAAGGUAUUCCGGUAGACGAUGGGGAUGCGUUCCAUUAGAUAGUAGGCGGGGUAACGGCCCACCUAGUCUUCGAUGGAUAGGGGUUCUGAGAGGAAGGUCCCCCACAUUGGAACUGAGACACGGUCCAA